RNAcentral lists this ribosomal RNA (254 nucleotides) under uncultured bacterium. RNAcentral's name for it is "partial 16S ribosomal RNA". It matches the Rfam family "Bacterial small subunit ribosomal RNA", at positions 524 to 776 of the family's 1533-position model. The record is from RNAcentral.
UACGGGGGGGGGCAAGCGUUGUUCGGAAUUACUGGGCGUAAAGGGCUCGUAGGCGGCCAACUAAGUCAGACGUGAAAUCCCUCGGCUUAACCGGGGAACUGCAUCUGAUACUGGAUGGCUCGAGUUUGGGAGAGGGAUGCGGAAUUCCAGGUGUAGCGGUGAAAUGCGUAGAUAUCUGGAGGAACACCGGUGGCGAAGGCGGCCCCCUGGUUGGAUACUGACGCUGAUACGCGAAAGCGUGGGGAGCAAACAGG